CCAAUUUAGUACUGAGGGAUCUUGUAUUUGCAAGAUCCAUUCCAUCACUUUCACUUGCCCAGAAAAUGGUUCUUCCUUUCGCAACAAAACAAAAAUAUUCUCAACAAAAUUUUUGUCCAAGUCAUUUAAGCCAGGUAAUAUAUCAUCCUGUGUCAAGCAAGAUGGUGUUUCUUCAACGUUGGAAGGACUAACAGAGUUUACGGGACCCUUAUUGGGACCAACAAAGUUUAAGGGAUCAGGAUCAGGUUGGACAGAGUUUAAUGGAACCAGAUCAAUAGGCAUCAUAGGAUCAGAGCUUGCUGGGACCCCAUCUUGUGGUUCUUCACAUGCAUUUGUUCUGGCAGCUUUCUCCCUUGACAAACGAACUAGUUUCAUCACUCCUGAAUGUUGGCUAGCAAAAAAUUCUCUAACCUAGAGUUGACAUAACACCAUAAUAUAAGCAAAUAAUUAAUACAGAUACAUAAAGUACUAAAUCAAGGUCCAUAAGAGGACACACUGAAACAAAAGAGGGGGUGGGGAAAAGGUGAAUAAUACAACAGCAGUUAGAAUAACUUUAACAAGGUAUGCACAUAAAUCCAUGCAGGGCUACGAAAGGGAAAGGGCAAAAAGUUUGUUGCAUAUAUUUUGAGACCAUAGCAGACUAAGCAUAAAGAAGAAGAAAUAGAAGAAAAAGAAAAGGUAACUUAAGUUUGUAAGUAAAUGCACAAGGAAAAACACCUGUGUGACUGUUACACCAAAUUGAGCACUUAGCUCAUGAGAUUCCUUCUUGCUGAUUGCAUUUUUUAUGGAGAAAACUGCUUGCAUAUACUUAAUAGCCUUAGGAUUUACCAAAUCUCUAGGUCUUUUUCCUGCCAACUCAAUAAUCAAGUAAGAUAAUGCCCAAAAGCAGCAGAAUUUAUAAACUUCUGACAAGAAUUCUUCAGUGUACAGAAACAAAUAGACAAAGGAAAGUAAAUGCAUUGGCAGGGCAAAAAGGAGUUCAUUAAGGUUCACUUAGCUUGUCCAGAGGAAAAAGUGACCCUCAAUUAGCAACUAAAAUAAGCAACCAUAGGAUCUGAAGCCAAUUUAACCCUCUAUGUAACCUAAAGCCAAUUUGAUUUUACAUUUUAGCACUCCAUUCGAAUGUAAUAAUAUGGAAAUAUCAUGACUAAUGAUACCAACAUGUGGCUGAGCCAACUUGUUAAUGGUGAUUAACUUCAAUUCAAAAUAGCAAAAAACUAAGGCUUAUUUGGUUCAUGGAAUUGCAAGGAAUAGGAUGGGAAUAGAAUAGCCAACAAACGCUGAACAGUUAUUCACCUAUUCCUAACUUUGGUUCAAAUUUUAAUAUGUGAUACUAUUCCAUGGAAUAACUAUUUUACAAUUUUAAUUUUCUAUUACACUUUAAAAUAUUAAUUAUUAUAUAAAAUAAAUAUUAUUUAAAUUAGUGUGAUAUAAAUUCAACAAAUAAGUAAAUAAUAGUUAUUCCAUUACCAUGAAUAAAAAUUAUUUCUAACAAGUCCCAAGAUCCAUAUACAUAAACUAUAUGUAUAAGUUAUUAUUGACAGAGUUAAGAAUACUUAUUUGCAUAAAAGGGAAAGUGUUUAAGAUUCCUUCAAAAUUGGUAGCAAUAAAAAAAUAGGCUAUAAAUUAAAGGAAAAAUGAUCACCAUGCAUAACCAUCUGAAAUAGUUCAAAAGCCACAACUUACGGAUUUUUAUUGACAUAGCACCAGCCGCCAUCUCUUGAGAGAGAGGAUUGACGCCGGUGAGCCUGCAUUAACUGACGACGAUGCGUUGAAGUUGAUCGAUCUAACUGUGAAAAUGCUCCUUCUGCGAAUCCAAAAACUUGCGAAACGACUCGACAGAGCUCCCAAUAUUUAUUUCUUCUAAAUUCUCCUUCAACGCCUCCAUCGUCGAAGUAGAAGAUUGGAGUCUUGAAGGUGGAUGUGCCAGAACAACGGAUUACAGUACGGUAUAAAGAGCUGAGAGUU
RNAcentral lists this unclassified non-coding RNA (1968 nucleotides) under Hevea brasiliensis (rubber tree). The record is from RNAcentral. Lineage: Eukaryota; Viridiplantae; Streptophyta; Magnoliopsida; Malpighiales; Euphorbiaceae.